This 443-nucleotide ribosomal RNA is filed under the name uncultured bacterium. RNAcentral describes it as "partial 16S ribosomal RNA". It matches the Rfam family "Bacterial small subunit ribosomal RNA", at positions 338 to 795 of the family's 1533-position model. The record is from RNAcentral.
CCUACGGGUGGCAGCAGUGGGGAAUAUUGCACAAUGGGGGAAACCCUGAUGCAGCAACGCCGCGUGAAGGAAGACGGCUUUCGGGUUGUAAACUUCUUUCAAUAGGGAAGAAAGAAACGACGGUACUAACAUAAGAAACCCCCGCUAACUACGGGCCAGCAGCCGCGGUAAUACGUAGGGGGCAAGCGUGAUACGGAAUUACUGGGUGUAAAGGGAGAGUAGGCGGAAAGGUAAGCGAUAUGUGAAAGCCUUAAGCUUAACUUAAGGAUUGCAUAACAAACUAGCUAGCUAGAGUACAGGAGAGGAAAGCGGAAUUCCUAGUGUAGCGGUGAAAUGCGUAGAUAUUAGGAAGAACACCAGUGGCGAAGGCGGCUCUCUGGACUGAAACUGACGCUGAGGCGCGAAAGCGUGGGGAGCGAACAGGAUUAGAUACCCUUGUAGUC